AGAGUUUGAUCCUGGCUCAGGACGAACGCUGGCGGCGCGCUUAACACAUGCAAGUCGAGCGAGAACCAGGGCUUCGGCCCUGGGGAAAGCGGCGAACGGGUGAGUAACACGUGAGUCAUCCACCCUCGGCACCGGGAUAGCCCGGGGAAACCCGGAUUAAUACCGGAUGGCCCGUCUGCCCUUCGGGGCGGCCGGAAAAGGUAGCUUCGGCCUCCGGCCGAGGACGAGCUCGCGGCGGAUUAGCUUGUUGGUGGGGUAAAGGCCCACCAAGGCGACGAUCCGUAGCUGGUCUGAGAGGACGAUCAGCCACACUGGGACUGAGACACGGCCCAGACUCCUACGGGAGGCAGCAGUGGGGAAUCUUGCGCAAUGGGCGAAAGCCUGACGCAGCGACGCCGCGUGCGGGAAGAAGGCCUUCGGGUUGUAAACCGCUUUCAGGAGGGACGAAGCCACUCGGGUUAAUAGCCCAGAGGGUGACGGUACCUUCAGAAGAAGCCCGGCUACUACGUGCCAGCAGCCGCGGUA
RNAcentral lists this ribosomal RNA (525 nucleotides) under uncultured Actinomycetes bacterium. RNAcentral's name for it is "bacterial SSU rRNA". It matches the Rfam family "Bacterial small subunit ribosomal RNA", at positions 8 to 522 of the family's 1533-position model. Lineage: Bacteria; Bacillati; Actinomycetota; Actinomycetes. The record is from RNAcentral.